RNAcentral lists this long non-coding RNA (803 nucleotides) under Homo sapiens (human). RNAcentral describes it as "long non-coding RNA NONHSAT218436". Lineage: Eukaryota; Metazoa; Chordata; Mammalia; Primates; Hominidae. The record is from RNAcentral.
CUGUCGCCCAGGCUGGAAUUACAGUGGCGUGAUCUUGGCACUGCAACCUCUACUUCCUGGUUUCAAGCGAUUCUCCUGCUUCAGCCUCCUGAAUGUCUGGAAUUACAGGCAUCCACCACCACCCCUGGCUAAUUUUUGUGUUUUUAGUGGAGAUGAGGUUUCACCUUGUUGUCCAGGCUGGUCUGGAACUCCCGACCUCAGGUGAUCUGCCCGCCUCGGCCUCCCAAAGUGCUGGGAUUACAGGCGUGAGCCACCGCACCCUACCAAAAUGUUUUAUUUUAUUAUAAAUUUACAUAAAUCAGCAAAUUAAUGAUAAGAAUUUUUUGGUAUCAAUUUAUGUAUGGUACAUUUCCUUCUUUCAAGGGCUAGAGGUUGUUUUGCUAAAAAUAUGUGACCAAGGUUAAAAUUAUUUCAAAAUUAGGAUGGAUAAUAAAAUAAUGAUGUCUUUAUUGUUUUAUUAGGAGGUCUACUCUUGCUCUAAAAGGAUUCUGAAAAAUAUGUGUUGUGUUGUUUUGUUUUAUUUUCCAGGUUUGUGUACGUGUGCAUGCAUGUGUGUGGGAAGCCUUGGAGAUUAGGGUUGCAAUGUGUCUGCUCAGCUAUAUUGAUCUCUUUAUUAAACUAUGUUGUUUCUCCAACUUGCCUCCAGUCUCUUCAUGACUUUUAUAUCAAGCACAGAAUUUAAAUGUGCAUUUCUGUGUUGAAAUUUUAAUAUGCAAUGAUAUUGUAGUUGAUUCAGCCAUAGGGAAUGCAUAAAACGACAUGAAAAUUAUAUGAUCACAGAGGCAGAACCAAACCCUUAGGAG